AUACUUACCUAGACGGGGGAAGUGAGUGAUCAACAAGGCCAUUGGCCUAGGUUGGUGACCUUCAUUGCACGUCGGAGGGGCGCUCUCCUAACUUCCUUUUAUUUUGUUUACAGAAGAAUUAAAGAACAGAACGGUUUGCUUUUAUGAAUUUCUGCAUAGGUGCAAAC
Molecule: small nuclear RNA, 167 nt
Organism: Capsicum annuum
Lineage: Eukaryota; Viridiplantae; Streptophyta; Magnoliopsida; Solanales; Solanaceae
Product: U1 spliceosomal RNA
Exons: 1
Source: RefSeq, a predicted model, not a curated record